Molecule: ribosomal RNA, 440 nt
Filed under: uncultured marine eukaryote
Lineage: Eukaryota
Description: SSU rRNA
Rfam family: Eukaryotic small subunit ribosomal RNA
Source: RNAcentral
UUAAAAAGCUCGUAGUUGGAUUUCGGAAUGGGCCAGUUGGUCCGCCUCACGGUGUGUUACUGGCUGGUCUGUUCUUCUUCGCAAAGACUGCGUGUGCUCUUUACCGAGUGUGCGUAGGACUUACGACGUUUACUUUGAAAAAAUUAGAGUGUUCAAAGCAGGCCUACCGCUUGAAUACAUGAGCAUGGAAUAAUGGAAUAGGACUUUGGUCUUAUUUUGUUGGUUUCUAAGACCGAAGUAAUGAUUAAGAGGGACAGUUGGGGGCAUUCGUAUUUCGUUGUCAGAGGUGAAAUUCUUGGAUUUACGAAAGACGAACAACUGCGAAAGCAUUUGCCAAGAAUGUUUUUCAUUAAUCAAGAACGAAAGUUAGAGGAUCGAAGACGAUCAGAUACCGUCCUAGUUCUAACCAUAAACGAUGUCAACUAGGGAUCAGUGGGCGU